GUAGGGUGCAAGCGUUAAUCGGAAUUACUGGGCGUAAAGCGUGCGCAGGCGGUUAUCCAAGACAGAUGUGAAAUCCCCGGGCUCAACCUGGGAAUGGCAUUUGUGACUGGAUAGCUAGAGUGUGUCAGAGGGGGGUGGAAUUCCACGUGUAGCAGUGAAAUGCGUAGAGAUGUGGAGGAACACCGAUGGCGAAGGCAGCCCCCUGGGACGAUACUGACGCUCAUGCACGAAAGCGUGGGGAGCAAACAGGAUUAGAUACCCUGGUAGUCCACGCCCUAAACGAUGUCUACUAGUUGUUGGGGCUUAAUUGACUCAGUAACGCAGCUAACGCGUGAAGUAGACCGCCUGGGGAGUACGGUCGCAAGAUUA
RNAcentral lists this ribosomal RNA (369 nucleotides) under uncultured bacterium. RNAcentral describes it as "bacterial SSU rRNA". It matches the Rfam family "Bacterial small subunit ribosomal RNA", at positions 527 to 896 of the family's 1533-position model. The record is from RNAcentral.